AUGGCGACCAGAGCUGCUUCUCUUGCUCUCUGCGCUCUUCUCGCACUCUCCCUAGUGUGUCAGGCAGUCUCUCGUAUGGAUCCUGCUGGAGGGGUGGUGGUGACAGGGUACCCGUGCGGCAACGUGGUCGUCAUCCGCGUCCCGCACGACGGUGUCUGCCAGCGGGACCGUUGCGGCGGGCUGUGCGUGGAGCAGUUCAUGUGGAAGUACCCGGGCAUCAAGGCCGUCAUAGGCGACUGCACGGCGGAGAAUACCCACGAAUGCAUCUGCUCUUUUCUUUGCUAG
RNAcentral lists this ribosomal RNA (285 nucleotides) under Triticum aestivum (bread wheat). RNAcentral describes it as "partial small subunit ribosomal RNA". The record is from RNAcentral. Lineage: Eukaryota; Viridiplantae; Streptophyta; Magnoliopsida; Poales; Poaceae.